This 174-nucleotide ribosomal RNA is filed under the name Aeromonas hydrophila. Its description in RNAcentral is "partial 23S ribosomal RNA". It matches the Rfam family "Bacterial large subunit ribosomal RNA", at positions 2757 to 2925 of the family's 2925-position model. The record is from RNAcentral. Lineage: Bacteria; Pseudomonadati; Pseudomonadota; Gammaproteobacteria; Aeromonadales; Aeromonadaceae. RNAcentral also lists the same sequence under 5 other names.
GGAAUCGAUAACCGCUGAAAGCAUCUAAGCGGGAAGCGAGCCCUGAGAUGAGUCAUCCCUGACCCCUUGAGGGUCCUAAAGGGCCGUUGGAGACCACAACGUUGAUAGGUGGGGUGUGUAAGCGCGGCGACGUGUUGAGCUAACCCAUACUAAUUACCCGUGAGGCUUAACCAU